RNAcentral lists this unclassified non-coding RNA (451 nucleotides) under Hevea brasiliensis (rubber tree). Lineage: Eukaryota; Viridiplantae; Streptophyta; Magnoliopsida; Malpighiales; Euphorbiaceae. The record is from RNAcentral.
GCCAAAUCUGGUUCACCGACGGACCUACCGGGACCUUCACAGAAGCAAAGAUCACGAAGUUCCCAGCGGAGUCAGACUCUGCGCUCAAGUCCCAGACAUCAACCGUCAGCUUCGAUGUCUCCUUGAUAUCACUGUAGGAAGCGAGGCUGUAUUUCUUCACGACCACUACGGUGCCGUUUUUCAUUGCCACAAGAGCCUGGGCACCUGCCAUGCCAGUCCCAUUGAGGUUGAUGCCCCAUCCCACCCAGCCGUCAGUCUUGGCCGGAGGCGCCUUUAAGGCGAUUGAAAGGGAGGAGUUGGAGGGGUUGUAGGUGUAGUGUAGGUAGGCAUUGAGUGUGGGCAGGUCUGUGCAAUUAUCAAAAAGCUUGUUGGUGAACUUCUGGGAUGUGCAGUUAAGUGAAUAUGCAGGUGAGAUUAGCAAAACCACCCAGAAGGAAAGAAAAAGGAAAGG